AUAUAUAUAUAUAAAGUGUCUUCAAAAUUUGCCCACUAAUAAGGCCUUUCUGGCUGCAUUACAGCAGAAUGUUAAGCAUAUGUUAACAGCAAACUGUUUAUCGAAUUGUAAUUGCAAUUUGCACAAUUUGAAAAUUCCAUAAUUAGAACAAUGCAAAGCCACACCACACCAGACAGACAAACAGACAGACACAGCCCUGGCUCAAAUACAACGCAAAGCGCGCCGCUGUGGUGAAAUUUGUGAUUCAAAUUUAUAUGCGUUAAGGAAUACAUGAAAAGCUAACAUUGAAAAGCAAUAUUUAAGUUUGCUGUUAAACAAUUAUGUAUAAAAUAUAUAUAUGUAUAUUAUAUACAUAUAUAUUUAUACAUGAUAUUGAACAAUUGAAAACCAACAUUUUGCGCCUUCCACAUAAAUCCACUACGUGUAUUCCGAAUCACAUGCAAAGAAAC
Drosophila navojoa is the source of this 449-nucleotide long non-coding RNA. The record is from RefSeq and is a predicted model, not a curated record. Lineage: Eukaryota; Metazoa; Arthropoda; Insecta; Diptera; Drosophilidae.